UUGGUUCUUAAGGACACGUGUUGUGUUUUGCGGGCUUUGUGUUCUUCUCUCUCUCUCGAAGCAUUCUGUGUCUCUCUCUUCGCUCUGUUUCGUCGAAAGCACCGCGUCUCUCCAUCUCUCCUUGACUAAUCCGCUGGGUGAUUUCUUCAUCUCUUCCUUAGUUUAAUCGCAGCUAUUUCAUAUGGCAUUGCUUCAAUGGCUAUGGUCUUUAUCAACAAAGCUGUUAUCAUGCAGUAUCCACACUCCAUGACUGUUCUUACUCUACAGGUAUGUGGCAGUUGUAUGGCCUGAUGUCCUGUACUUCUCUAUCUACAAGGUUAGUGACUGGUCCACUGCGUUGCUUGUUCUCAUGUAAUUUGUUUACUGCUGUCUUUUGUUUAGCCAGCUAACUUUGUUCUCUUGCUACUCUUUUUUUUAUGUUUGUAUGUUUCCUGUUUUUGUUAUUGAUGAGGAGCAUUGCGUUGCUUGUUCUUAUGACUUGUUGCAUGUCCUCAAAGCAUAUGAAAAAGAGUGAAAGACUAGUAAUGAAAGUGUUCUAUAUUUUUUCUAAGAA
This is a long non-coding RNA of Raphanus sativus (radish), 553 nucleotides long. RefSeq lists it as uncharacterized. NCBI's taxonomy places the organism in Eukaryota, Viridiplantae, Streptophyta, Magnoliopsida, Brassicales, Brassicaceae. The transcript is spliced from 3 exons. The record is from RefSeq and is a predicted model, not a curated record.